AUGGAGAGUUUGGAUGCCCCGAACAUCUUCUUCCGUAAAGAUAAUUACGUCGUCCGGUCAUGGCUUCUUUGUCGGCUCCCCUCCGGCAGACGUCUCCGGGCCCAGUCGUUUGGAAAUCAUGAUGACCCCGAUCGUUGGCUGAUUGGUCAUCACUUCUUCAGUCCUCGUCGAUCGACAACUGGUUGAGUCGGCGGGUUCCUUCAAAAUUUACCGAGAUACCCCC
This 223-nucleotide long non-coding RNA is filed under the name Elaeis guineensis (African oil palm). Its description in RNAcentral is "long non-coding RNA (EGUI_LNC075643)". The record is from RNAcentral. Lineage: Eukaryota; Viridiplantae; Streptophyta; Magnoliopsida; Arecales; Arecaceae.